GACGAACGCUGGCGGCGUGCUUAACACAUGCAAGUCGAACGGAAAGGCCCCUUUGGGGGUACUCGAGUGGCGAACGGGUGAGUAACACGUGAGUAACCUGCCCUUGACUUCGGGAUAACUUCAGGAAACUGGGGCUAAUACCGGAUAGGAAUCCUUGCUGCAUGGUGGGGGUUGGAAAGCUUCGGCGGUUUUGGAUGGACUCGCGGCUUAUCAGCUUGUUGGUGGGGUAGUGGCUUACCAAGGCUUUGACGGGGUAGCCGGCCUGAGAGGGCGACCGGCCACAUUGGGACUGAGAUACGGCCCAGACUCCUACGGGAGGCAGCAGUGGGGAAUAUUGCACAAUGGGCGGAAGCCUGAUGCAGCAACGCCGCGUGCGGGAUGACGGCCUUCGGGUUGUAAACCGCUUUCAGCAGGGGCGAAGCUUGUGGUGACGGUACCUGCAGAAGAAGCACCGGCUAACUACGUG
This 466-nucleotide ribosomal RNA is filed under the name uncultured bacterium. RNAcentral's name for it is "partial 16S ribosomal RNA". It matches the Rfam family "Bacterial small subunit ribosomal RNA", at positions 28 to 507 of the family's 1533-position model. The record is from RNAcentral.